RNAcentral lists this ribosomal RNA (123 nucleotides) under Dasypus novemcinctus (nine-banded armadillo). The record is from RNAcentral. Lineage: Eukaryota; Metazoa; Chordata; Mammalia; Cingulata; Dasypodidae.
AUCCUUGGCCAUACCACCCUGGGUGUGCCCGAACUUGUCUGAUCUCGGAAGCUAAGUAGGGUUGGGCCUGGUUAGUACUUCAACGUGUGACAUCUAGAUUUGAGGACUAGGAGGUCAGGAAUG